Molecule: ribosomal RNA, 252 nt
Filed under: uncultured bacterium
Lineage: Bacteria
Description: partial 16S ribosomal RNA
Rfam family: Bacterial small subunit ribosomal RNA
Source: RNAcentral
UACGUAGGUCCCGAGCGUUGUCCGGAUUUAUUGGGCGUAAAGCGAGUGCAGGUGGUUUAUUAAGUCUGGUGUAAAAGGCAGUGGCUCAACCAUUGUAUGCAUUGGAAACUGGUAGACUUGAGUGCAGGAGAGGAGAGUGGAAUUCCAUGUGUAGCGGUGAAAUGCGUAGAUAUAUGGGGGAACACCGGUGGCGAAAGCGGCUCUCUGGCCUGUAACUGACACUGAGGCUCGAAAGCGUGGGGAGCAAACAGG